CAUUUAUCAGCCAUAAAUCUCAGGUGACUUUGUGUCCUGGAAUCCUUCAUAGGGUGGAAUCAAAAAGAACCCAGAAGAAAAACACUGCCUUUUAAAAUUGUAUAUCUAGUUGCAGGUCCUUCUAGUUGUGGGAUGUGGGACGCCGCCUCAACGUAGCCUGAUGAGCGGUGCCAUGUCCGCGCCCCAGGAUCCGAACCCUGGGCCGCCGCAGCGGAGCAUGCGAACUUAAUCACUCAGCCACGGAGCCAGCCUCAGAGAAUGGAAUCUGAAAACUGGAGAAGGGAGAGUGAUGGAGACUAAAGCCCAACAAGGAAGAGACUCUCAAGAAAGCAAUAUCUCAGUCCUUUUGCAAAAAACCUGAUCUUCCAAAGAGGAUUCCUGGAUGUAACUUUCCUAGAAAGAUAAAGUAUUCCUCAAGGAUCCAGGAAGGAACUCAAAAGGAAAGAAAAUCAUUCUGGCAAAUUAAAUAAAUAUGGCGGACCUGAUAAUCUAUUGAGGGAAGUGCACAAGAACAAAUACCUUGUACAUCAGAAGUGCUGUAAAGUGGAUUGAACAAAGCACCACGAACAUGUGGAAUUUGCCCCCUUUUCCAAGUUGAUAGAGAAGAUUGACUACUCAUUUUAGUUUCUGAUGCACAUUCUUCUGAAAGUAAACAAGCGUAGUCUGCUUAGACUGUGGUUACUAUUAUUACUUGUCAUCUUCAGAUAUGGGCAGGACAUUCUGAAUAGAUGAUGUUAUGGAAGGCAAGAAGAUUUUCCUAUGCUCCUACACAGUGUGGCUAAGAGUGUGGGAAAAUGGGCACUCAUAUUUUGUGGGUGGUGGGUGUAUCAGAGGAUGUCAGUAGACUCUCCUGGAAGCAAUUUGGUAAUAUGCCCCGUGAAGGCUUUGUGCAUCUUGAUUGCUACUGAAUCCUUAAUGCCUAAAAUUCUACUGGAAUAAAUGCAUAAAUUAAUAAAUGCAAAAAUCCUUAAAAUUUUGCAUAGGCUUUGAUGCACAAAUUUUAAUGAUAAGAGUUAGAAAUCAAAUAAACCUAGUAUUAAGAUUUAGCUGU
Molecule: long non-coding RNA, 1051 nt
Filed under: Equus asinus (donkey)
Lineage: Eukaryota; Metazoa; Chordata; Mammalia; Perissodactyla; Equidae
Description: lncRNA (ENSEASG00005036574.1)
Source: RNAcentral